AGAAUGAACGCUGGCGGUCUGCUUAACACAUGCAAGUCGAACGGAGUACCUCGGUACUUAGUGGCGGACGGGUGAGUAACGCGUGAGAAUCUGCCCUUAGGUCGGGGACAACCAUUGGAAACGAUGGCUAAUACCGGAUAAGCCGAGAGGUAAAAGAUUAAUUGCCUAGGGAAGAGCUCGCGUCUGAUUAGCUAGUUGGUGAGGUAAAGGCUCACCAAGGCAUCGAUCAGUAGCUGGUCUGAGAGGAUGAUCAGCCACACUGGGACUGAGACACGGCCCAGACUCCUACGGGAGGCAGCAGUGGGAAUUUUCCGCAAUGGGCGAAAGCCUGACGGAGCAAGACCGCGUGAGGGAGGAAGGCUCUUGGGUUGUAAACCUCUUUUCUUGGGGAAGAACAAAAUGACGGUACCCAAGGAAUCAGCAUCGGCUAACUCCGUGCCAGCAGCCGC
Molecule: ribosomal RNA, 449 nt
Filed under: uncultured bacterium
Lineage: Bacteria
Description: SSU rRNA
Rfam family: Bacterial small subunit ribosomal RNA
Source: RNAcentral